This 572-nucleotide ribosomal RNA is filed under the name Staphylococcus aureus subsp. aureus 301-188. RNAcentral describes it as "bacterial LSU rRNA". It matches the Rfam family "Bacterial large subunit ribosomal RNA", at positions 2354 to 2925 of the family's 2925-position model. The record is from RNAcentral. Lineage: Bacteria; Bacillati; Bacillota; Bacilli; Caryophanales; Staphylococcaceae.
AAGGCAUAAGGGAGCUUGACUGCGAGACCUACAAGUCGAGCAGGGUCGAAAGACGGACUUAGUGAUCCGGUGGUUCCGCAUGGAAGGGCCAUCGCUCAACGGAUAAAAGCUACCCCGGGGAUAACAGGCUUAUCUCCCCCAAGAGUUCACAUCGACGGGGAGGUUUGGCACCUCGAUGUCGGCUCAUCGCAUCCUGGGGCUGUAGUCGGUCCCAAGGGUUGGGCUGUUCGCCCAUUAAAGCGGUACGCGAGCUGGGUUCAGAACGUCGUGAGACAGUUCGGUCCCUAUCCGUCGUGGGCGUAGGAAAUUUGAGAGGAGCUGUCCUUAGUACGAGAGGACCGGGAUGGACAUACCUCUGGUGUACCAGUUGUCGUGCCAACGGCAUAGCUGGGUAGCUAUGUGUGGACGGGAUAAGUGCUGAAAGCAUCUAAGCAUGAAGCCCCCCUCAAGAUGAGAUUUCCCAACUUCGGUUAUAAGAUCCCUCAAAGAUGAUGAGGUUAAUAGGUUCGAGGUGGAAGCAUGGUGACAUGUGGAGCUGACGAAUACUAAUCGAUCGAAGACUUAAUCAAAUU